UUAGAAAGUUACAUCUCUCUUGAAUCCAUUCUUAAAGGCCUUCAAGGACUCAGGCACAGCCUUGGGAAACCAGGAAAUGUGACUGUGUCAAUCACCACACAGUCCAACUUCCUUUUCGUGUAGGAAAUGUUUUCUUUAUCAUUAAUUGAUCAGUUCUCCCCUUUCCAAACUUCUGGCAAUUUGGGAAAUGGAAUCUUUAUGUUGCUGGGUAUUUUCUCCUUCCACACCUCCUUCUCCUUGCUGGACAGGAGGGGAGGGCAGAAGACGUGUUUGUGGCCACAUUCCCGGUGUGGCCCGCCUGGACAGGAGCCAGGGUGCACACUGACCUGCACAGCCUCUGGCCUCUGUCCCUGGGCCUGAGAGGCAGGAGCAAGGGGCCUGUCCUCACUCUGAAUCCAACUGCUGGUGACUCAGGGCACCCUGCUGGACCCUCCAGGAGAAGUUGGGGCCCACGUUUCUAGGCUGCCCACUCAUCCAAACCUCCCUCCAUGUCCCUGACCAAAGCAUUUCGCAGAUCUGGGUCCUCUGGUGUGUGAGGCUCCUCCCAGCCCAUGAGCAUUGGAAAAUGUCUACAAGAUCUUUGCCAUUUUAGGUUCUACCGAGGCUAAAGAAUGUAUGUUUCCUCUGCUUAGACUUAAGUUUUUGAGUAACUUUAUAGACACUUUGGCAUUUUGGCUGAAAGGGCAUGUGCAGUAACUGAAUAUGACUUGUGCACUGUUUCAGUGCCAGUGGGUCACAUGCAGGGGAGUCAGAGCCAAGGUGGAUGAGGCUGGGAUAUCUACAUGCUUGGUGGGGAGUUGGAGCCAAGGUGGAUGAGGCUGGGAUAUCUACAUGCUUGGUGGG
Molecule: long non-coding RNA, 843 nt
Filed under: Homo sapiens (human)
Lineage: Eukaryota; Metazoa; Chordata; Mammalia; Primates; Hominidae
Description: HSALNT0206793
Source: RNAcentral